CGGAGGGGGCUAGCGUUGUUCGGAAUUACUGGGGCGUAAAGCGCACGUAGGCGGACCAUCAAGUUGGGGGGUGAAAUCCCGGGGGCUCAACCCCCGGAACUGCCUCCAAAAACUGCUGGUCUGGAGGUCGAGAGAGGCGAGUGGAAUUCCGAGUGUAGAGGUGAAAUUCGUAGAUAUUCGGAGGAACACCAGUGGCGAAGGCGGCUCGCUGGCUCGAUACUGACGCUGAGGUGCGAAAAGCGUGGGGGAGCAAACAGGAUU
This 261-nucleotide ribosomal RNA is filed under the name uncultured bacterium. Its description in RNAcentral is "partial 16S ribosomal RNA". It matches the Rfam family "Bacterial small subunit ribosomal RNA", at positions 526 to 779 of the family's 1533-position model. The record is from RNAcentral.